ACUCAAAGGAAUAGACGGGGACCCGCACAAGCGGUGGAGCAUGUGGUUUAAUUCGAGGCUACGCGAAGAACCUUACCCAGGCUUGACAUGUAGUUGACAGCCUAUGAAAGUAGGUGUCCUCGCAAGAGGCAAUUACACAGGUGCUGCAUGGCUGUCGUCAGCUCGUGCUGUGAAGUGUUGGGUUAAGUCCCGCAACGAGCGCAACCUUUGUUCUUAGUUGGCAUCACGUCAUGGUGGCCACUCUAGGAAGACUGCCGGUGAUAAACUGGAGGAAGGAGGAGACGACGUCAAGUCAGUAUGGCCCUUAUGCCUGGGGCUACACACGUGCUACAAUGGCCGCCACAAAGGGCUGCAAACCCGCGAGGGGGAGCAAAUCCCAAAAAAACGGCCCCAGUUCAGAUUGAAGGCUGCAACUCGCCUUCAUGAAGUCGGAAUCGCUAGUAACGGUAGAUCAGCUACGCUACCGUGAAUACGUUCCCGGGUCUUGUACACACCGCCCGU
RNAcentral lists this ribosomal RNA (501 nucleotides) under uncultured bacterium. RNAcentral's name for it is "partial 16S ribosomal RNA". It matches the Rfam family "Bacterial small subunit ribosomal RNA", at positions 899 to 1397 of the family's 1533-position model. The record is from RNAcentral.